CAGCAGCCGCGGUAAUACGAAGGGUGCAAGCGUUACUCGGAAUUACUGGGCGUAAAGCGUGCGUAGGUGGUGGUUUAAGUCCGUUGUGAAAGCCCUGGGCUCAACCUGGGAAUUGCAGUGGAUACUGGAUCACUAGAGUGUGGUAGAGGAUAGUGGAAUUUCCGGUGUAGCAGUGGAAUGCGUAGAGAUCGGAAGGAACACCAGUGGCGAAGGCGACUCUCUGGUCUGUAACUGACGCUGAGGAGCGAAAGCGUGGGGAGCAAACAGGAUUAGAUACCCCCGUAGUCCCUGUCUCUUAUAC
Molecule: ribosomal RNA, 301 nt
Filed under: uncultured bacterium
Lineage: Bacteria
Description: partial 16S ribosomal RNA
Rfam family: Bacterial small subunit ribosomal RNA
Source: RNAcentral